CGCGUAGGCGGAUGGCACAGUCAGAUGUGAAAUUCCCGGGCUUAACCUGGGGGCUGCAUUUGAUACGUGUUGUCUUGAGUUCGGAAGAGGGUCGUGGAAUUCCCAGUGUAGAGGUGAAAUUCGUAGAUAUUGGGAAGAACACCGGUGGCGAAGGCGGCGACCUGGUCCGACACUGACGCUGAGGCGCGAAAGCGUGGGGAGCAAACAGGAUUAGAUACCCUGGUAGUCCACGCUGUAAACGAUGUGUGCUGGAUGUUGGGUGACUUAGUCACUCAGUGUCGUAGCUAACGCGAUAAGCACACCGCCUGGGGAGUACGGCCGCAAGGUUGAA
RNAcentral lists this ribosomal RNA (331 nucleotides) under uncultured Pseudomonadota bacterium. Its description in RNAcentral is "bacterial SSU rRNA". It matches the Rfam family "Bacterial small subunit ribosomal RNA", at positions 568 to 898 of the family's 1533-position model. The record is from RNAcentral. Lineage: Bacteria; Pseudomonadati; Pseudomonadota.